Neofelis nebulosa (Clouded leopard) is the source of this 1599-nucleotide long non-coding RNA. RefSeq lists it as uncharacterized. Lineage: Eukaryota; Metazoa; Chordata; Mammalia; Carnivora; Felidae. The record is from RefSeq and is a predicted model, not a curated record. The transcript has 4 exons.
UUCUCUGUUCAUUCCCUGAGGAGGCAUGGACUGGCCUUGGUAAUGUCUUGGGCAUGGCCAAUCUUGUAGUUUGGGAUGAGAGCCAUAAGCAUCGACCACUGACUUGUGUGUGACCUUCCAGUGAGGGCCUGACAGGUCUUGAACAUUCUUAGGAUGGGGGUGAGGCCAUUAAUGUUGCGUACGAUUGGCUCAGUCUAGGACCUGGGAGUUAUGGUGCGUCUCUAUAAUGAUUCUUCUAGGGUGGUAUUUACUUUUCUGAGAAGCAGGAAAGGUUCUUUACUUUUUAAGAUUCAUACAACUAAAUUGGGCACACCCAGGUAAUCCAGAACACUCUCCCCAACUCAGUGUCCUUACAUUUAACCAAAUCAGCAAAAUUCCUUUUGCUAUGUAAGGUACCACACUCACAAGUUCUUCACAAGUACAUCUUUGGGGGAGCCAUUAUUCUGCCUACCUUCUAUGAAUUGAAUCACGCCCUCCAUAAUUCAUAUGUUGAAGCCCUAACCCCUAAUGUGAUGCUAUUUGGAUAUAGGGCCGUUGGGCCAUUAGAAGGUUGUGAGAGGGGGUCCUCAUGAUGGGAUUAAUGGCCUUAUGAGAAGAGACCUGAGAAGUUACUUUCUUUUUCUUUCUACCACCUGAGGAUAUGGCAAGAAGGCAGUGGUCUGCACACCAGGAAGUGGAUUCUCACCGGAUACCAAGGCUGUGGCCACUUUGAUUUUGGACUUCCCAGCCUGCAGAACUGUGAUCAAGGCUACUGAAGGGGUAUUUGAGUUCAUUUAUCUGACUUCUAAGGACAACAGUGUUUACAUUCAGAAGUGGACACCUCAGAAGAAAUUCUUCAUCUAGGAUGAUCAAGUCUCCUGAGGAGAAAUUUCAAUAUACCUACACAUCUGAUGACAAAAAGUACCAUGGUGAAAAAAUAUAUUCAUGAUUCUGUCUACUGAGAAGGCCUGGAAGCAGUGACACCCCAGUAGCAAUGAAGAACCCGUGUCCAGAUACGAUUUUCUAAAUUCCAUUGUUCAACUAAAAACCAAUGGGACAUGGCGAAGAGUAUAAAAAGGAAAAACGGUGCCUUUCCAGUGGAGAAACUUGGCGGACCCCACCCUAACCAAGUGAUCAUUGUUAACACUAUCAGUGGUGUAAUAUCAAGGCUAGGUACUUGUGAUACAGUGCAAUGAGAGUAAGUAUUCCUCUUUGUGCUAUUCUUGAAAAUCGACAGCCCCAGUCUGAUCAUGAAAAUACAUCAGACACAUCCAAAUUGAGGGAGUCUCCAGAACACCAGUACACUGUAAAACUGCCAGGUCACUGAAAAUGAAGUUCCAUUAAGAAGUUGUCACAGACCAGGGGUGCGUGGGUGGCUCAGUCAUUUAAAGCGUCCGACUCUUAUUUCGGCUCGGGACGUGAUCUCAUGGUUCAUGAGUUUGAGUCCCCAUCUGUCAGCGCAGAGCCUGCUUGGGAUUCUGUCUCUCUCUCUCUCUCAAAAACAAAUAAAUAAACUUCAAGAAAUUAAAAAAAAAAAAAAAAAAAGUUGUCACAGACCAGACUAAUUUCGGCAGUAUCCUGGAUUAGAUUCUGGCACAAAAAAGAGGGAAAAGUGGUAGA